AGUGGAGUUGGAUUACAGUCAGUUUGAUAGCGAGGCAACAUGAUUCAGUUUUGGCCGUUUUGGGGUUUUGAAUCUUUUAAGAUGCAGCACACAAACAAAUAUUGAUUUAUGGAGGCAUUCAACCAUGGAACUCAAGUAGUAAUAGAUCGUUACUGACAAGUAUUCCCUGUAGCAGAGCAGCAGCUUGCACAAGUGUCAUGAACUGAACCUACUCGA
Oryza brachyantha (malo sina) is the source of this 216-nucleotide long non-coding RNA. RefSeq lists it as uncharacterized. NCBI's taxonomy places the organism in Eukaryota, Viridiplantae, Streptophyta, Magnoliopsida, Poales, Poaceae. The record is from RefSeq and is a predicted model, not a curated record. The transcript is spliced from 3 exons.